UAGGUCGACCCGCUGAAUUUAAGCAUAUCAAUAAGCGGAGGAAGAGAAACCAACCAGGAUUCCCUCAGUAACGGCGAGCGAAGUGGGAAGAGCUCAGGCUGCCAAUCUCCGGCCGAGAGGUCGGCGAAUUGUGGUCUGGAGACGCCAACUGUCCUUGCUCGCUUCCCUGGCCCGAAGUUGACCUGGAACGGCGCGUCAGAGAGGGUGACAGUCCCGUAGGGCCGUGUGUGGGAAGCGGGUGGACGUCAUUUGGCGCUCGGCGAGUCGGGUUGUUUGGGAAUGCAGCCCAAAGUGGGUGGUAAACUCCAUCCAAAGCUAAACAGCGGCACGAGACCGAUAGCGAACAAGUACC
Molecule: ribosomal RNA, 352 nt
Filed under: Petrosia sp. F GPM-2011
Lineage: Eukaryota; Metazoa; Porifera; Demospongiae; Haplosclerida; Petrosiidae
Description: eukaryotic LSU rRNA
Rfam family: Eukaryotic large subunit ribosomal RNA
Source: RNAcentral